Gopherus flavomarginatus (Mexican gopher tortoise) is the source of this 72-nucleotide non-coding RNA. NCBI's taxonomy places the organism in Eukaryota, Metazoa, Chordata, Testudines, Testudinidae. The record is from the annotation of a RefSeq genome assembly.
UCCCUGGUGGUCUAGUGGCUAGGAUUUGGCACUUUCACUGCCAAGACCUGGGUUCAAUUCCCGAUCAGGGAC